UGGGGAAUAUUGGACAAUGGACCAAGAGUCUGAUCCAGCAAUUCUGUGUGCACGAUGAAGCUUUUCGGAAUGUAAAGUGCUUUCAGUUGGGAAGAAAGAAAUGACGGUACCAACAGAAGAAGUGACGGCUAAAUACGUGCCAGCAGCCGCGGUAAUACGUAUGUCACGAGCGUUAUCCGGAUUUAUUGGGCGUAAAGCGCGUCUAGGUGGUUAUGUAAGUCUGAUGCGAAAAUGCAGGGCUCAACUCUGUAUUGCGUUGGAAACUGUAUAACUAGAGUACUGGAGAGGUAAGCGGAACUACAAGUGUAGAGGUGAAAUUCGUAGAUAUUUGUAGGAAUGCCGAUGGGGAAGCCAGCUUACUGGACAGAUACUGACGCUGAAGCGCGAAAGCGUGGGUAGCAAACAGGAUUAGAUACCCUGGUAGUCCACGCCGUAAACGAUGAUUACUAGGUGUUGGGGGUCGAACCUCAGCGCCCAAGCAAACGCGAUAAGUAAUCCGCCUGGGGAGUACGUACGCAAGUAUG
RNAcentral lists this ribosomal RNA (524 nucleotides) under uncultured bacterium. RNAcentral's name for it is "bacterial SSU rRNA". It matches the Rfam family "Bacterial small subunit ribosomal RNA", at positions 355 to 896 of the family's 1533-position model. The record is from RNAcentral.